GAUGAAGAACGUAGCGAAAUGCGAUAAGUAAUGUGAAUUGCAGAAUUCAGUGAAUCAUCGAAUCUUUGAACGCACAUUGCGCCCGCCAGUAUUCUGGCGGGCAUGCCUGUCUGAGCGUCAUUUCAACCCUCAUGCCCCUAGGGCGUGGUGUUGGGGAUCGGCCAAAGCCCGCGAGGGACGGCCGGCCCCUAAAUCUAGUGGCGGACCCGUCGUGGCCUCCUCUGCGAAGUAGUGAUAUUCCGCAUCGGAGAGCGACGAGCCCCUGCCGUUAAACCCCCAACUUUCCAAGGUUGACCUCAGAUCAGGUAGGAAUACCCGCUGAACUUAAGCAUAUCAAAAGCGGAGA
This 346-nucleotide unclassified non-coding RNA is filed under the name soil metagenome. RNAcentral's name for it is "partial contains 5.8S ribosomal RNA, internal transcribed spacer 2, and large subunit ribosomal RNA". The stretch from base 1 to 120 matches the Rfam family "5.8S ribosomal RNA", at positions 35 to 154 of the family's 154-position model. The record is from RNAcentral.